RNAcentral lists this transfer RNA (71 nucleotides) under Marmota monax (woodchuck). RNAcentral describes it as "tRNA.Ala". The record is from RNAcentral. Lineage: Eukaryota; Metazoa; Chordata; Mammalia; Rodentia; Sciuridae.
GGGGUUGUGGCUCAGAGAUAGAGUGUUCGCCUAGCAUGUGUGAGGCACUGGGUUUGAUCCUCAGCACCACA